RNAcentral lists this transfer RNA (229 nucleotides) under Pneumocystis jirovecii. RNAcentral's name for it is "tRNA-Pseudo(GAT)". The record is from RNAcentral. Lineage: Eukaryota; Fungi; Ascomycota; Pneumocystomycetes; Pneumocystales; Pneumocystaceae.
AUUAUUUUAAUUAAAUAAUUAAAAAAAUAAUUAUGAUAAAAAAAAAUUAUGAUAAAAAAAUAAAAUUCAUCUUAAAAAUAAUUAAUAAUUUGUAUAAAAUGAAAAUUAUUAUUUAAUAUUUAUAAAACUUUUAUUGUUAAUAUUUUUAUAAAAUAAUUCUAUAAAUUAUAAAAAAUAUAAUUUUUUAGAAAUUAAAAAAAUUAAUACUAAAAUCUACUUUUAAAUAAAA